RNAcentral lists this ribosomal RNA (2890 nucleotides) under Salmonella enterica subsp. enterica serovar Weltevreden. Its description in RNAcentral is "bacterial LSU rRNA". It matches the Rfam family "Bacterial large subunit ribosomal RNA". The record is from RNAcentral. Lineage: Bacteria; Pseudomonadati; Pseudomonadota; Gammaproteobacteria; Enterobacterales; Enterobacteriaceae.
AGCGUACACGGUGGAUGCCCUGGCAGUCAGAGGCGAUGAAGGGCGUGCUAAUCUGCGAUAAGCGCCGGUAAGGUGAUAUGAACCGUUAUAACCGGCGAUACCCGAAUGGGGAAACCCAGUGUGACUCGUCACACUAUCAUUAACUGAAUCCAUAGGUUAAUGAGGCGAACCGGGGGAACUGAAACAUCUAAGUACCCCGAGGAAAAGAAAUCAACCGAGAUUCCCCCAGUAGCGGCGAGCGAACGGGGAGGAGCCCAGAGCCUGAAUCAGCAUGUGUGUUAGUGGAAGCGUCUGGAAAGGCGCGCGAUACAGGGUGACAGCCCCGUACACAAAAGCGCAUGUGCUGUGAGCUCGAUGAGUAGGGCGGGACACGUGGUAUCCUGUCUGAAUAUGGGGGGACCAUCCUCCAAGGCUAAAUACUCCUGACUGACCGAUAGUGAACCAGUACCGUGAGGGAAAGGCGAAAAGAACCCCGGCGAGGGGAGUGAAAAAGAACCUGAAACCGUGUACGUACAAGCAGUGGGAGCCCCACCACCAAAGCGUUUCGCUUUGUGUGGUGCACAAAGAAGCGUAACGACAGCACUGAAUGACGGUUAACGGAGCGCAAGCGACGUUCAACAUACAAAGUCAAGCAGUGGAGCGCUUUGGGGUGGGGUGACUGCGUACCUUUUGUAUAAUGGGUCAGCGACUUAUAUUCUGUAGCAAGGUUAACCGAAUAGGGGAGCCGGAGGGAAACCGAGUCUUAACCGGGCGUUAAGUUGCAGGGUAUAGACCCGAAACCCGGUGAUCUAGCCAUGGGCAGGUUGAAGGUUGGGUAACACUAACUGGAGGACCGAACCGACUAAUGUUGAAAAAUUAGCGGAUGACCUGUGGCUGGGGGUGAAAGGCCAAUCAAACCGGGAGAUAGCUGGUUCUCCCCGAAAGCUAUUUAGGUAGCGCCUCGUGAAUUCAUCUCCGGGGGUAGAGCACUGUUUCGGCUAGGGGGCCAUCCCGGCUUACCAACCCGAUGCAAACUGCGAAUACCGGAGAAUGUUAUCACGGGAGACACACGGCGGGUGCUAACGUCCGUCGUGAAGAGGGAAACAACCCAGACCGCCAGCUAAGGUCCCAAAGUCAUGGUUAAGUGGGAAACGAUGUGGGAAGGCCCAGACAGCCAGGAUGUUGGCUUAGAAGCAGCCAUCAUUUAAAGAAAGCGUAAUAGCUCACUGGUCGAGUCGGCCUGCGCGGAAGAUGUAACGGGGCUAAACCAUGCACCGAAGCUGCGGCAGCGACGCUUAUGCGUUGUUGGGUAGGGGAGCGUUCUGUAAGCCUGUGAAGGUGGCCUGUGAGGGUUGCUGGAGGUAUCAGAAGUGCGAAUGCUGACAUAAGUAACGAUAAAGCGGGUGAAAAGCCCGCUCGCCGGAAGACCAAGGGUUCCUGUCCAACGUUAAUCGGGGCAGGGUGAGUCGACCCCUAAGGCGAGGCCGAAAGGCGUAGUCGAUGGGAAACGGGUUAAUAUUCCCGUACUUGGUGUUACUGCGAAGGGGGGACGGAGAAGGCUAUGUUGGCCGGGCGACGGUUGUCCCGGUUUAAGCGUGUAGGUGUGUGUUCCAGGUAAAUCCGGUUCACUUUAACACUGAGGCGUGAUGACGAGGCACUACGGUGCUGAAGCAACAAAUGCCCUGCUUCCAGGAAAAGCCUCUAAGCAUCAGGUAACAUCAAAUCGUACCCCAAACCGACACAGGUGGUCAGGUAGAGAAUACCAAGGCGCUUGAGAGAACUCGGGUGAAGGAACUAGGCAAAAUGGUGCCGUAACUUCGGGAGAAGGCACGCUGACACGUAGGUGAAGUGAUUUACUCAUGGAGCUGAAGUCAGUCGAAGAUACCAGCUGGCUGCAACUGUUUAUUAAAAACACAGCACUGUGCAAACACGAAAGUGGACGUAUACGGUGUGACGCCUGCCCGGUGCCGGAAGGUUAAUUGAUGGGGUCAGCGCAAGCGAAGCUCCUGAUCGAAGCCCCGGUAAACGGCGGCCGUAACUAUAACGGUCCUAAGGUAGCGAAAUUCCUUGUCGGGUAAGUUCCGACCUGCACGAAUGGCGUAAUGAUGGCCAGGCUGUCUCCACCCGAGACUCAGUGAAAUUGAACUCGCUGUGAAGAUGCAGUGUACCCGCGGCAAGACGGAAAGACCCCGUGAACCUUUACUAUAGCUUGACACUGAACAUUGAGCCUUGAUGUGUAGGAUAGGUGGGAGGCUUUGAAGUGUGGACGCCAGUCUGCAUGGAGCCGACCUUGAAAUACCACCCUUUAAUGUUUGAUGUUCUAACGUGGACCCGUGAUCCGGGUUGCGGACAGUGUCUGGUGGGUAGUUUGACUGGGGCGGUCUCCUCCUAAAGAGUAACGGAGGAGCACGAAGGUUGGCUAAUCCUGGUCGGACAUCAGGAGGUUAGUGCAAUGGCAUAAGCCAGCUUGACUGCGAGCGUGACGGCGCGAGCAGGUGCGAAAGCAGGUCAUAGUGAUCCGGUGGUUCUGAAUGGAAGGGCCAUCGCUCAACGGAUAAAAGGUACUCCGGGGAUAACAGGCUGAUACCGCCCAAGAGUUCAUAUCGACGGCGGUGUUUGGCACCUCGAUGUCGGCUCAUCACAUCCUGGGGCUGAAGUAGGUCCCAAGGGUAUGGCUGUUCGCCAUUUAAAGUGGUACGCGAGCUGGGUUUAGAACGUCGUGAGACAGUUCGGUCCCUAUCUGCCGUGGGCGCUGGAGAACUGAGGGGGGCUGCUCCUAGUACGAGAGGACCGGAGUGGACGCAUCACUGGUGUUCGGGUUGUCAUGCCAAUGGCACUGCCCGGUAGCUAAAUGCGGAAGAGAUAAGUGCUGAAAGCAUCUAAGCACGAAACUUGCCCCGAGAUGAGUUCU